This 103-nucleotide transfer RNA is filed under the name Dyadobacter fermentans. RNAcentral describes it as "tRNA-Arg". Lineage: Bacteria; Pseudomonadati; Bacteroidota; Cytophagia; Cytophagales; Spirosomataceae. The record is from RNAcentral.
GACUGCGUAGUUCAACGGAUAGAGCGGCCCGCCGCCCGAUAGGAGUUUCCUAAACUCUGGAUAUGGGUCCGGGGUCGCGCUCGACCGAUUCCUGUCGCGGUCA